ACCACUGUCAAUCUAUCUAUCACUGUCAAUCUAUCUACCACUGCUAAUCUAUCACUGCUAAUCUAUCACUGUCAAUCUAUCUAUCACUGUCAAUCUAUCUACUACUGUCAAUCUAUCUACCACUGUCAAUCUAUCUACCACUGUUAAUCUAUCACUGCUAAUCUAUCACUGCUAAUCUAUUGCUGCUAAUCUAUCACUGCUAAUCUAUUGCUGCUAAUCUAUCUAUCACUACUAAUCUAUCACUGUCAAUCUAUCUACUGCUGUCAAUCUAUCUAUCACUGCCAAUCUAUAUAGAGUAAAUCAUGAUUCCAUUUGAUCCCAUUUUGUAAAAUGAAAUCAAAUGAAAUCAGAAUCAUUAAUUUAUUAGUAAAAUAUGAUCUGAGACUAGAUUUAUAAUAUAAACAGUGUAAAGUAACUAAUUUGCUAAACACUAUAUGGGAUCAGAACUAAGAUAUCUAAUAAUGAAAUUGAGAAAAAAUUUGAUCUCAGUCCCAUGC
RNAcentral lists this small RNA (497 nucleotides) under Histoplasma capsulatum. RNAcentral describes it as "hypothetical RNA". RNAcentral also lists the same sequence under 1 other name. Lineage: Eukaryota; Fungi; Ascomycota; Eurotiomycetes; Onygenales; Ajellomycetaceae. The record is from RNAcentral.